RNAcentral lists this unclassified non-coding RNA (1218 nucleotides) under Hevea brasiliensis (rubber tree). Lineage: Eukaryota; Viridiplantae; Streptophyta; Magnoliopsida; Malpighiales; Euphorbiaceae. The record is from RNAcentral.
GUUACUGCUUGUAAAAAUAAUUUUUUUAGCAUGUUUAAUCUGUCAUACAAUGCCACGAUGGCUUCUAUGUUUUAAUCGGUCAUACAAUGCCAUAAUGGUUUCUAUUUUUCUUCCUUUAUCUAUCUUCUGCUCAAGAAAGUAAUGCUCAAGCCAUUAAAAUGAUAAGAUCAGUCGUCAAUGACAAUUCCAAACUAUAUCAACUAAAGCAAUCUUUUACAUGGUAAUAAGAAAUUGNUAAAUUUUGAAAGAAGAAUAUAGAUCUGUCCACGAGAUCACAAAAUUUACAGCACUUGUUGCUGCAAGUCAUCAUAAUCAUCCAAGAGGAGUCUUUUUAGUUCAUUGCAUCAUAAUCAUCCAACUUCUCAUUGUACUCCAGCACCUUUCUCUUUAUCUUGGACGUAUCUACCCAAGUGAUGAAAUCUUCCAUAUUCCUUGUAACCAAGAAUGCUGGGUCAGUAACUGUCUCCGGACCAACUCGAAUGUGACCCUGCUCAAUGUAUGUGACGGCUUCUUUCAAAUGCUCAGCAAACUUCAAUCGCAUUAAAACAGUUGAAAGCCUUCGUCUGCAGAAUGAUGACACUGACAAACGAUCACACAAAGCCAGGCUUUUCCUGGUUGAUAUCACUCCCAUGUUAUAGAGUUUCUCCAAAAGCAUAUCAGUCAUUUCAACUCGAAAAGGGUCUUUAGGAUCCAUCUGCUUCAAUAUGCUGACCAACUUCUGCACCAUCCGGCACAAACUCGAAUACUUCUUGUAAUCAUCCCGCUCGACUAUGUGGUAACGAUGCAUAACAUUGGCUUCUCUGUGGUCGCCCUCCCUCUUCCAUUGCAAGAAAUUUACCUUCUUCAGUAGCUUUUGCUCAUGAAACUUUAGCUUCCUCAUUCUUCAAUCUGCGAUGGAUUGCUUAUGUGAUGCGGGAAGGAUGAGUGGCAGCGGAUUGCUUCGGUGCAGCAGCGAGGUUGAGGGGCAGGCGACGCUUUGCCUCUGUGCUGCGGCGAGAUUGAGGAGCGGGGGAUUCUUCUUUGCAGUGAAGAGAUUGAGAGGCGGAGCAGAUUGGUUCUGUGCAGAGGCGAGACUGAGGGACGGCGGACGGAUUGGAUGGAGGAACGGAUGGCAAUGAGCUUACUGAGUGAAUCGAGAGAGUCUGAGAGUGAAUAGCGGGAAAGCGUGAGACGGUGCUAACGAUGGGAUGAAGACUUAGGUUUAGGUUUACGUUUUUU